RNAcentral lists this ribosomal RNA (442 nucleotides) under uncultured bacterium. Its description in RNAcentral is "partial 16S ribosomal RNA". It matches the Rfam family "Bacterial small subunit ribosomal RNA", at positions 338 to 795 of the family's 1533-position model. The record is from RNAcentral.
CCUACGGGAGGCUGCAGUGGGGAAUAUUGGGCAAUGGGCGCAAGCCUGACCCAGCAACGCCGCGUGAAGGAAGAAGGCUUUCGGGUUGUAACCUUCUUUUGUCAGGGAAGAGUAGAAGACGGUACCUGACGAAUAAGCCACGGCUAACUACGUGCCAGCAGCCGCGGUAAUACGUAGGUGGCAAGCGUUGUCCGGAUUUACUGGGUGUAAAGGGCGUGUAGCCGGGUUGACAAGUCAGAUGUGAAAUCCUGCGGCUUAACCGCAGAACUGCAUGUGAAACUGUUGAUCUUGAGUACUGGAGAGGCAGACGGAAUUCCUAGUGUAGCGGUGAAAUGCGUAGAUAGUAGGAGGAACACCAGUGGCGAAGGCGGUCUGCUGGACAGCAACUGACGGUGAGGCGCGAAAGCGUGGGGAGCAAACAGGAUUAGAUACCCCAGUAGUC